RNAcentral lists this transfer RNA (67 nucleotides) under Marmota monax (woodchuck). Its description in RNAcentral is "tRNA.Ala". The record is from RNAcentral. Lineage: Eukaryota; Metazoa; Chordata; Mammalia; Rodentia; Sciuridae.
GGCUGUAGCUCAGUGGUAGAGCACUUGCCUAGCACACGCGAGGCACUGGGUUUGAUCCUCAGCACCA